AUACCAGCAAACCAGUGGACCCUGAAGCAGAAGAGUGUCUCCAAGCUGGUGUUACUCUGGAAUAUAGAAAAGACUGAGACUGAAGGGCUAAAAAGGAGAAAGGUCUGAUCUGAGGAGGAAGGGAGCUGGAAACACAAUGUCCUUUGGAAGAGGAACAUAACUCCUGCUGGCCUUGUCCGUGGAGAUGGGGACACCGAGUUCCCCUUGCCGCCCCAUCCUGAACCCCACCGUGCGUGCUGGGUGAAGCCUUGGCAAUAGCGCAGCCCGGAGAUGGAGUGGCCCCCACCUUGUCAGACCAUCCAGACCAC
Long non-coding RNA from Chroicocephalus ridibundus (black-headed gull), 308 nucleotides. RefSeq lists it as uncharacterized. Lineage: Eukaryota; Metazoa; Chordata; Aves; Charadriiformes; Laridae. The transcript has 3 exons. The record is from RefSeq and is a predicted model, not a curated record.